This 648-nucleotide unclassified non-coding RNA is filed under the name Hevea brasiliensis (rubber tree). Lineage: Eukaryota; Viridiplantae; Streptophyta; Magnoliopsida; Malpighiales; Euphorbiaceae. The record is from RNAcentral.
AUCAAACAACCUUACUACAGUGCAAAAAACUAUCACAACCCAACUUGGGCACGAGCAGCUACUACACGAAAUAAAAAAAGGUGGUUAGGCUUAACGGUUGGGCAGCUGCAGAUGUCUUAAUACUAAAAAAGGAAGAAGAAUUUUCCAAAAGAAACUAAGAUAACUUAUGUUGAUUCCUGUGAUAGUUAUGUUUUAGUUUUGGCUGUUUUGAUGAGAAAAUGUUGAAGACAUAUACAUAUUUAGAAAACAUAAUUAAUUAAAACUACCUCAACAUGGAUGUUUAAUGUAAUUAGCUGUCCAUAACCCACAAAUUAAUCCUGCAAUAAAAGAGUGAAAUUUGUUUAAAUUGACGUUAGGAAGAGAGCCCACCAAUCCUAAAAAUUUAGACACUAAAGGGAAAUAACAGAAACGAACUAGAGCAGCAAGAUAGGUACAGCUUCUGCCGGAGGACGGCCACCAAUAAAAAGGCAAGCUAUUUCCUUGUCUCCUUGACUCUCUCUCUCUCUGAGGAGUUCCAGAAGCGAACUCUUUCCUUUAGGAAUUUUAAUGCUUGGCACUUUAAUGAUUUUUGUACAGACCCCCUUUGCUUUUUGAAUGCUUCUUCUGUUUUCCUGCAAAAAAAAAAACAAAAAUAAAAAAUAAAAAAUA